RNAcentral lists this ribosomal RNA (253 nucleotides) under uncultured bacterium. RNAcentral describes it as "partial 16S ribosomal RNA". It matches the Rfam family "Bacterial small subunit ribosomal RNA", at positions 524 to 776 of the family's 1533-position model. The record is from RNAcentral.
CACGGGGGGAGCAAGCGUUGUUCGGAAUUACUGGGCGUAAAGGGCGUCUAGGCGGUUAGGUAAGUGGGAUGUGAAAUCCCUCGGCUCACCCGAGGACCUGCAUCCCAAACUGCUUAGCUUGAGUAUGGGAGAGGAUGAGGGAAUUCCUGGUGUAGCGGUGAAAUGCGUAGAUAUCAGGAGGAACACCAGUGGCGAAGGCGGCUCACUGGACGACUGUUGACGCUGAGGUGCGAAAGCGUGGGGAGCAAACAGG